This 314-nucleotide non-coding RNA is filed under the name Monodelphis domestica (gray short-tailed opossum). RNAcentral describes it as "Eukaryotic large subunit ribosomal RNA". It matches the Rfam family "Eukaryotic large subunit ribosomal RNA", at positions 675 to 939 of the family's 3401-position model. The record is from Rfam by way of RNAcentral. Lineage: Eukaryota; Metazoa; Chordata; Mammalia; Didelphimorphia; Didelphidae.
CUAAUACGCGUGCGAGUCAGGGGCUCACACGAAAGCCACCCGUCGUGCAAUGAAGGUGAAGGCUGGCACCCACUGGCCAAAGUGGGAUCCCAAGGCCUUGGUCCUUCUUCCCUUCUUGCUGAGGGCGCACCACCAGCCCCUCUCGCCUGCCCCGCCGGGGAGGUGGAGCAUGAGUGUGUGUGUUAGGACCUGAAAGAUGGUGAACUAUGCCUGGGCAGGGCAAAGCCAGAGGAAACUCUGGUGGAGGUCCAUAGCUGUCCUGACAUGCAAAUCAGUUGUCUGGCCUGGGUAUAGGGGUGAAUGGUUCCCUCUGA